AACGCACGAGACCUGCGGACCUGCGGAAGGAUCAUUACCGAGUUUACAACUCCCAAACCCAAUGUGAACGUUACCAAACUGUUGCCUCGGCGGGAUCUCUGCCCCGGGUGCGUCGCAGCCCCGGACCAAGGCGCCCGCCGGAGGAUCAACCAAAACUCUUUUGUAUACCCCCUCGCGGGUUUUUAUAUCUGAGCCAUCUCGGCGCCUCUCGUAGGCGUUUCGAAAAUGAAUCAAAACUUU
This 240-nucleotide unclassified non-coding RNA is filed under the name soil metagenome. RNAcentral's name for it is "partial contains 5.8S ribosomal RNA, internal transcribed spacer 2, and large subunit ribosomal RNA". The record is from RNAcentral.